AGGAGUGGCAUUGCUGGAUCAAAUGGCAGUUCUAUGUUUAGUUUUCUGAGGAAUCUCCAUACUGCUUUCCACAGUGGUUGCACCAAUUUACAAUCCCACCCUCAGUGUACUAGGGUUCCUUUUCCUCCACACCCUCUCCAGCACUUAUUGUUUGUAGACUUUUGGAUGAUGGCCAUUCUGGCUGGUGUAAGGUGGUACCUCACAUGGUUUUGAUUUGCAUUUCUCUAAUAAUGAGUGAUGUUGAACAUCUUUUCAUGUGUUUCUUGGCCAUCUGUAUGUCUUCUUUGGAGAACUGUCUGUUUAGAUCUUCUGCCCAUUUUUUGAUGGGGUUGUUUGUUUUUUUGGUAUGGAGCUACAGAAGGUGUUUGUAAAUUUUGGAGAUCAAUCCCUUGUCAGUGAAUUUGAAGUUUGUCACUUUUGUUGUUAUUUUAGUCGUCAGAGUUUUACUCUUCCCUGCUUUCUGUAUUUAUUCCAAGCAUAAACAAACCAGUACUGCAUACUUUAAAUAAAUUAGUAAAAUAAUCUCUGUUUUGAGGCCUCUGUGGUUGUAGGUAAAAGGAAUAAGCUAGGAGGGUCAGAAAGGAACAGAUACCCAAAUAGCUAAAAUAUGACUCAUUUUUAUUCAAAGCAUUUUAUCACAUUGCAGAAUAAAAGUUUAAAGAAAAUAAUCAACACAAAGUCAGAGGUCCCCCCCCUUUUUUUUUUGCUUUUUUAGGGCCUCACCUGAGGCGUAUGGAGGUUCCCAGACUAGGGAUUGAAUUGGAGCUACCUGUCUAUUCCACAUCUACAGCAACAACAGAUCCAAGCCGCAUCUACUAACUAUACCACAGCUCAUGGCAAUGUCAUAUCCUUUACCACCUGAGCAAGGGAUCAAACCACAACCUCAUGGUUCUCAGAUGGAUUUGUGUUCCAGUGUGCCACGGCAGGAACUCCAAAGUCAGAGCUUUUUUAUAAUUAUUAGCAGUUUAACAUUUUGUAAUAACUUAUCACAUAGUUGUUACUAUUUGUGUCAAUAUUGAAAAUACAAGGGAAUAAAUAAUUUCCUCAAUGUUGUGUAUAUGGUAAUUACUGAGACCAGGAUUAAAACCCACAUCUGACAUGCAAAAGCCUGUGUACCCAUCAAAGUUUACAUUCAAAUGGAGGCUGGUGGCAAAAUGAGGAAAAAGUCUUACUGAGGAUAUAUUACUCAGAAAUAUUAAGAGCAGAUAAGAUCUACUGAAACAUCAAGCAGAUAAAACCUACUGAAACAAUUCAUAUUAAAGAUUACUUAAGGACUUGGUAGGGAAUUAAAAGAGACAAAUGAGUAUUAGAAUUAUAUGGAGAUCAAGUCUAGAAAACUUAGAUAUAUGCGGAGUUAGGAAGAACUCAAUUGGUGACUGGAAAUGCUGACAUCAAAAGGUAAAUGUUUUGAACAAGGGGAGGAUUAACAAAGAGGCAGAAGAGGGAGGUGAUUAGGUAUG
This 1460-nucleotide long non-coding RNA is filed under the name Sus scrofa (pig). RNAcentral's name for it is "lncRNA (ENSSSCG00040027871.1)". Lineage: Eukaryota; Metazoa; Chordata; Mammalia; Artiodactyla; Suidae. The record is from RNAcentral.